Molecule: ribosomal RNA, 310 nt
Filed under: Carapoia carybei
Lineage: Eukaryota; Metazoa; Arthropoda; Arachnida; Araneae; Pholcidae
Description: partial 12S ribosomal RNA
Source: RNAcentral
AGUAGUAGUAAAUAACAAAACUCUUAAAACUUGGCGGUUACUAUAAAUUAAAGAAACUCGUUUUUUAAUCGAUAAUACCCGAUAAAUUUCACUUCAAUCAACUUAUAUACCGCCGUUUCAGAACUUUUAAUAAAAAAUAUUCAAAUUCAAUAAACUUCAAAAAUCAGGUCAAGGUGUAGUUAAUAUUUUAGAAAAAAUAAGUUACAAAUAAUUUUGAAUUAAGGAAAAUAAAAUUAAAAUUUUAAAGAAAAAGAAUUUAAAAUUAACAUUGAUUUAAAAAAUCAGUAAGAAAUUACUAUUACAGUAAUGC